This 713-nucleotide ribosomal RNA is filed under the name uncultured Alphaproteobacteria bacterium. RNAcentral describes it as "bacterial SSU rRNA". It matches the Rfam family "Bacterial small subunit ribosomal RNA", at positions 269 to 1001 of the family's 1533-position model. Lineage: Bacteria; Pseudomonadati; Pseudomonadota; Alphaproteobacteria. The record is from RNAcentral.
CAAGCCUGCGAUCUAUAGCUGGUCUGAGAGGAUGAUCAGCCACACUGGAACUGAGACACGGUCCAGACUCCUACGGGAGGCAGCAGUGGGGAAUAUUGGACAAUGGGCGAAAGCCUGAUCCAGCCAUGCCGCGUGAGUGAUGAAGGCCUUAGGGUUGUAAAGCUCUUUUGUCAGGGAAGAUAAUGACGGUACCUGAAGAAUAAGCACCGGCUAACUUCGUGCCAGCAGCCGCGGUAAUACGAAGGGUGCUAGCGUUGUUCGGAAUCACUGGGCGUAAAGCGCGCGUAGGCGGCUUUUCAAGUCAGGGGUGAAAUCCUGGGGCUUAACCUCAGAAUUGCCUUUGAAACUGGAAAGCUUGAGUGUCGGAGGGGAUAGCGGAAUUGCUAAUGUAGAGGUGAAAUUCGUAGAUAUUAGCAGGAACACCGGUGGCGAAGGCGGCUAUCUGGACGACAACUGACGCUGAGGCGCGAAAGCGUGGGGAUCAAACAGGAUUAGAUACCCUGGUAGUCCACGCCGUAAACGAUGGGUGCUAGCCGUAGGAAGGUUACCUUUCUGUGGCGCAGCUAACGCGUUAAGCACCCCGCCUGGGGAGUACGGUCGCAAGAUUAAAACUCAAAGAAAUUGACGGGGACCCGCACAAGCGGUGGAACAUGUGGUUUAAUUCGAGGCAACGCGAAGAACCUUACCAGGUCUUGACAUGCUUCUCGCGGACU